RNAcentral lists this ribosomal RNA (476 nucleotides) under uncultured bacterium. RNAcentral's name for it is "partial 16S ribosomal RNA". It matches the Rfam family "Bacterial small subunit ribosomal RNA", at positions 28 to 523 of the family's 1533-position model. The record is from RNAcentral.
GAUGAGCGCUGGCGGCGUGCUUAACACAUGCAAGUCGAGCGAGUGAGUUCUUCGGAACAAUCUAGCGGCGGACGGGUGAGUAACACGUGGGCAACCUGCCUCAUAGAGGGGAAUAGCCCCCCGAAAGGGAGAUUAAUACCGCAUAAAAUUAUCGAGUGGCAUCACAUGAUAAUCAAAGGAGUAAUCCGCUAUGAGAUGGGCCCGCGGCGCAUUAGCUAGUUGGGGAGGUAACGGCUCACCAAGGCGACGAUGCGUAGCCGACCGGAGAGGGUGAUCGGCCACAUUGGGACUGAGACACGGCCCAGACUCCUACGGGAGGCAGCAGGGGGGGAUAUUGCAAAAUGGGGGAAACCCUGAUGCAGCAACGCCGCGUGAGUGAUGAAGGUCUUCGGAUUGUAAAGCUCUGUCUUUGGGGACGAUAAUGACGGUACCCAAGGAGGAAGCCACGGCUAACUACGUGCCAGCCGCCGCCGUAA